UGGGGAAUAUUGGACAAUGGGGGCAACCCUGAUCCAGCCAUGCCGCGUGAGUGAUGAAGGCCUUAGGGUUGUAAAGCUCUUUCGCCGGUGAAGAUAAUGACGAUAACCGGUAAAGAAGCCCCGGCUAACUCCGUGCCAGCAGCCGCGGUAAUACGGAGGAUGCAAGCGUUAUCCGGAAUGAUUGGGCGUAAAGCGUCCGCAGGUGGUGAUGCGAGUCUGCUGUUAAAGAGUGUAGCUUAACUACAUAAAGGCGGUGGAAACUGCACCACUAGAGUACGUUCGGGGCAGAGGGAAUUCCUGGUGUAGCGGUGAAAUGCGUAGAUAUCAGGAAGAACACCGGUGGCGAAAGCGCUCUGCUAGGCCGUAACUGACACUGAGGGACGAAAGCUAGGGGAGCGAAUGGGAUUAGAUACCCCGGUAGUCC
RNAcentral lists this ribosomal RNA (424 nucleotides) under uncultured prokaryote. RNAcentral describes it as "bacterial SSU rRNA". It matches the Rfam family "Bacterial small subunit ribosomal RNA", at positions 355 to 796 of the family's 1533-position model. The record is from RNAcentral.